GUAAAUUGCCUUUCUCUUGGUUCUUACAUGCCCGUCAUCAGUCCCCGGAUUUUAGAUGUGUGUAGAGCCCCAAAGUCCCCAGGGAAAACUCCUGAAAAAGAGGGCGGGGGGAACCCUGGAAAUCAUAAUUGAGAGAUUGAUCCAGGGGAACUACCAUCCUCAGAUGCUUAGCAAUAAAAAGCUGGGGGGGGGGAGGGGGGUUACCUAAGUCAAUUCCAUUUUGUGCUCUUUGAAAGCAUUUAUCUGGAGAUGCGUUUUGACUUUGGUUUUAUAACUGGCACUUGGAAUAAUAUUUGUGUAUGUAGCUGAAGCAUCUACAGGGCCCUUUUCUUUGCAGGCUGUUUUUCAUUCUACAUUUCUUGAUGAAAAUUGGAUGCAAAUAGCAACAAAUAUAGUGGUAACAGCAAAAAGAUAGUGGUAACUCCGUAAGGAGGUGAUUGAGAGCCCGGGUGUUGGAACCAGAGUGGCUGCAUACGCAGCCUGGCUCCCUUGCUUACUCGCGAUGAAACCUCUGGCAAACUGUAUAAUGCCUCUAGGCCCCAGUUCCUCAUUUGUCAAGUGGGGAUAUAGUAUUACUUACCUCAAAGUAUUGUUGCAAGGCGUAAAACAACAUAAAGCAUUAAGAACUCAUCAGGCACAUAGUAGACACUAAGAAAUACCUGUUAUUUCUAUUGAAUUAAAUUGUUUUUUUGGGUUUUGUUUUUUAGAAUAAUCAAGGGCCACAAUUAGACAUAAUAAUUGGAAAAUUUGUUCUGGUAUUUAUUCUCUUUUUUCCUUUGAGGAAGAUUAGCCCUGAGCUAACUGCUGCCAAUCCUCCUCUUUUUGCUGAGGAUGAUUGGCCCUGAGCUAACAUCCGUGCCCAUCUUUCUCUACUUUAUAUGUGGGACACCUACCACAGCAUGGCAUGCCAAGUGGUGCCAUGUCCGCACCCGGGAUCUGAACCCAGCGAACCCUGGUGUGCCAAAACAGAAAGUGUGAACUUACUGCGCCACCAGACUGGCCCCAUGGUAUUUAUUCUUUUAAUAAGUUACUCUUUUUCCUUGAAUGCUCACAUCAACCAUAUUCUGAGCAUAAAUAAGCAUUAAAUUCAAGGAACAAUGAUAAGAGGCUGAAAAUAUAGGUUCCUGAAAGAGGUAAAUAAAGAAAACCAGUGGAGACGAUCAAAAUGAAGCAACAAUCACAAAGGACAACAGAUUUUAUUUCCU
RNAcentral lists this long non-coding RNA (1205 nucleotides) under Equus caballus (horse). RNAcentral describes it as "lncRNA (ENSECAG00000057716.1)". Lineage: Eukaryota; Metazoa; Chordata; Mammalia; Perissodactyla; Equidae. The record is from RNAcentral.